RNAcentral lists this ribosomal RNA (468 nucleotides) under uncultured bacterium. RNAcentral describes it as "partial 16S ribosomal RNA". It matches the Rfam family "Bacterial small subunit ribosomal RNA", at positions 28 to 507 of the family's 1533-position model. The record is from RNAcentral.
GACGAACGCUGGCGGCGUGCUUAACACAUGCAAGUCGAACGGAAAGGCCCUGCUUUUGUGGGGUUCUCGAUUGGCGAACGGGUGAGUAACACGUGAGUAACCUGCCCUUGACUUUGGGAUAACUUCAGGAAACUGGGGCUAAUACCGGAUAGAAGCUCCUGCUGCAUGUUGGGGGUUGGUAAGUUUCGGCGGUUGUGGAUGUACUCGCGGCUUAUCAGCUUGUUGGUGGGGUAGUUGCUUACCAAGGCUUUGACGGUUAGCCGGCCUGAGAGGGUGACCGGCCACAUUGGGACUGAGAUACGGACCAGACUCCUACGGGCGGCAGCAGUGGGGAAUAUUGCACAAUGGGCGGAAGCCUGAUGCAGAAACGCCGCGUGCGGGAUGACGGCCUUCGGGUUGUAAACAGCUUUCGACUGUGACGAAGAGUGAGUGACGGUAAUGGGUAAAGAAGCACCGGCUAACUACGUG